UUUGUUAUUCUAUUGAAGAGAUAAAUAAAAGUAGGCCUAUAUGAUGUUGUAAUUUGUAAAUAAAUAGAUUCGAUAUACUCAACAAUCAUUAAUUGCAAACUAUGUUUUCUCUACACAGAUUGUUGUAAAAUGCUGGUAAACUUGAAAAAUACAAAGCGGUUUUUUCAAGGUCUACUCUUUCCCGACCACUCUGAAAUCAAGGCUCUUUAUUACGUACCACAACAAACCGAAGAUAUAUAACGAUCCCUAUACGUUAUAUAUUGUGGGACUUAUAUCAGAGUUCCUCCAUUUUCAUCAGGCGAUUUUCUGCAUCAGAGAAAUCACUAUUUCUGCUAUUUCGUCAUAAGUCCAGGAAAAUACCCUCACGCGUCAUCAGUUUUUAAAAUUAACAUGGCGGCGGCGUUUAUCAGUGCAAGUGAAAAACCUUACUGUCAAGCCACGAGCCCGUGUCCAAUCUGCCUUAUGAUGUUUUUGUGGCUUGCAUUGAGUUUUCAACAGAGGCUCAUAGAUCUGGUUACUGGCGCUGCGGAGAGCGGGGAAAAUUACGAUUCUGACUUCCCGGAAGACGGCGCAAGAGAGAAGCCGUCUUCUCCGAAAAAAGACUUAUUUGAAAAACAGAAAUAGAAAGUUCGAGGUGACAUUUGGACCGGGGUAGAAUCGGACACUUGGACAAAUUUGGAAAUCGACUUCUUAAAUCUGCAUAUAGUUUGUUUAACACGCGUAACUUCUCUUCAGCAAAGGCCUUGAUAAAUAUUUACCAUAUACAGUAUUGCGACACAUAUAUAAAUAAAUAGUACAAGUACUGCUCAAAUAACCGUCCGAGCUACCCCCGGUCCCCCAAAUUCUGCUUGUAUAUAUAUAUGUGAUUAAGUUAAUGUUAUUUAGUGUUUCCAAUUAUAGUGUGGCAUUGUAUAGUACUGUGGGGUAAGAGGGGACACCAUUGGCACAUAAUAUCCAAAUAUUCUGAUCGUGUUUUAAACAAUUAACAACGGUUUGUGGGUGCCGUGAGGAUACGGUUUUAUAAUUCUUUGAAUGUUUUUCGUUUACUACCAAAUGGGACGAGAAAAUAGAAAGAAAAGGUGUCCCAUCUUCCCUACCAUACUCUAUACUGACGAUUAUCAUACAAACAGAAUAUCUGCAUUUAAACCACACGGUGUUAUAUUUAACUUACCGUUUCU
Molecule: non-coding RNA, 1178 nt
Organism: Ciona intestinalis (vase tunicate)
Lineage: Eukaryota; Metazoa; Chordata; Ascidiacea; Phlebobranchia; Cionidae
Source: RefSeq, a predicted model, not a curated record